Molecule: small RNA, 408 nt
Filed under: Pongo abelii (Sumatran orangutan)
Lineage: Eukaryota; Metazoa; Chordata; Mammalia; Primates; Hominidae
Description: processed transcript
Source: RNAcentral
CGGGCCCUCGCGCGCCGCGGUUCGCCCCGCAGCCUCGCCCCCUGCCCACCCGGGCGGCCGUAGGGCGGUCACGAUGCUGCCGCCCGCACCCUCACGUCUCGGGCUGCUGCUGCUGCUGCUCCUGUGCCCGGCGCACGUCGGCGGACUGUGGUGACAUUCGGGAGACGGCCUUCGUGUUUGCUAUUACUGCGGCGGGCGCCAGCCACGCUGUCACGCAGGCCUGUUCUAUGGGCGAGCUGCUGCAGUGCGGCUGCCAGGCGCCCCGCGGGCGGGCCCCUCCCCGGCCCUCCGGCCUGCCCGGCACCCCCGGACCCCCUGGCCCCGCGGGCUCCCCGGAAGGCAGCGCCGCCUGGGAGUGGGGAGGCUGCGGCGACGACGUGGACUUCGGGGACGAGAAGUCGAGGCUCU